GAUGAACGCUGGCGGCGUGCCUAAUACAUGCAAGUCGAGCGAACGGACGAGAAGCUUGCUUUUCUGAUGUUAGCGGCGGACGGGUGAGUAACACGUGGAUAACCGACCUAGAAGACUGGGAUAACGUCGGGAAACCGGAGCUAAUACCGGAUAAUAUUUUGAACCGCAUGGUUCAAAAGUGAAAGACGGUCUUGCUGUCACUUAUAGAUGGAUCCGCGCUGCAUUAGCUAGUUGGUAAGGUAACGGCUUACCAAGGCAACGAUGCAUAGCCGACCUGAGAGGGUGAUCAGCCACACUGGAACUGAGACACGGUCCAGACUCCUACGGGAGGCAGCAGUAGGGAAUCUUCGGCAAUGGGCGAAAGCCUGACGGAGCAACGCCGCGUGAGUGAUGAAGGUCUUCGGAUCGUAAAACUCUGUUAUUAGGGAAGAACAUAUGUGUAAGUAACUGUGCACAUCUUGACGGUACCUAAUCAGAAAGCCACGGCUAACUACGUG
Molecule: ribosomal RNA, 497 nt
Filed under: uncultured bacterium
Lineage: Bacteria
Description: partial 16S ribosomal RNA
Rfam family: Bacterial small subunit ribosomal RNA
Source: RNAcentral